RNAcentral lists this long non-coding RNA (228 nucleotides) under Elaeis guineensis (African oil palm). RNAcentral describes it as "long non-coding RNA (EGUI_LNC050555)". Lineage: Eukaryota; Viridiplantae; Streptophyta; Magnoliopsida; Arecales; Arecaceae. The record is from RNAcentral.
UGGGGUCACAUACAUAGAAGUACUUGUCUGAUCAAAUGACUGAUCGACGAUUAUGAAUUGUUGAAGAAUUUAAUUAUCAAUUUGAUUGAUGAUUAAUCCUAUGCAAAGGUUUUAAUAAAUAUUUACUAAUGAUUAGUAAAUUAGAAGAAUAAAUAAUUAAUAAUAUAAUUAUUAAUUAGCUCAAUUUAAUUAAGUAAUGAAGAUUGGAUUAGAUCUAAUUGAAUUAGA